AGCAUAGCCGGGUAUAGUAUAGGAUGCACGGCGGCAAAAUCAGUGACAGUCGCACUAACGGUAGCAUAAAACUCGAGUGUGUACGUAAAAUACAUAAGAUUUAUAUGUACAUACGCAUAUACGUAUAUAUAUAAUAUCUACUCGUAUACGUAUGUACGAUAUGUAACAAUGGGACGCAAGAGAUCGAUGAGAAUAUACAAAUAUAUACAUAUAUGUGAUACAUAUAUAUAUUUCUUUUUCUUUUUCUAUCCCUUUUGAAAGUUGCAGCGGUAGGAUGCAGAGAUUCUACCACCACAUCUCUGAGCACACAUAGAGCGGCGGACACAUGAACGAAUACGUAAGUAUUUUUUUUUUUACUUUUUAUUCUUUCGUUUUUUUUUUUUUUCAAAGUCAUUUUCUAGCUUUACUUGGUAUGUCGCUCGUACGAUCGUGAGAUACGUAUACAUAUAUAUGUACAUAGUUAUUGCUGGUAUGUGUUCAAGGUAUGUAUUAUAAAAUGCAACGGCAGCGAGAACGACUGUAAUUACAUAAAUGGUUUUUACUUUUUUUUUUUCUAUUUCCUUCUUUUUUUCUCUAAACGCGACAUAAUAAUGGGGAGAAAGAUAAAAAAAAAAAAAAGAUUCAAAACCGAAAAAAUCUUUCGUUACAUAGGACAAAUGUACAAACAUACGUAUGUGUAUAUGUAUAUAAUAUUACAUAUACUUGAAUCGUCCUUGACUCCGAUUAUAAAACCUCAUAGAACGGAGCGGCAGCGAUCUGCAGCCCUACGGUAUACAGACAGCAUUUAAAAACCGAUAGACGAGAAAAAGAAAACAGAAAGAGAGAAUACGCCGUUGAUUUUACUUUCGAUAUUUCAUCAAUGUUGCUUAUAUUUUAUUUCCCAUUUUUUUUUCCAUUUGCUGCAUAUAGAUGAAAUGAUAAGAGUAUACCGCGUAUGGUAUGUAUACUGUAAAAACUCAUCCGCGUCAACGCUUUAAAUUUUAUCUCCUAGAGAACUACGACGAUUGUCACAGUUAUAGGCGAACUAGUAAUAAUAAUAACAACAACAACAAUAAUAAUAAUAAUCAGUUUGAAUAGGCUCAAGUAUGCGAGAUACGGUGGUCGUCGGGAUUAAUUGAAGAGGCGUACGCGCUGUACCGUACUUUAUUUUUCGAGAAGCAAAAAAAUAAAAAAACAAUAAAAAACCAAAUGAAAAAAAAAAGUUCUAAACAUAUCAAAUGUAAGAAAAUAAAAUGGAAUAAAAGACGAUGGCGAGUGAAAUAAUCCUGGCUACUCGUACGCGAUUCGAUACGAGUUGGGAGUAACGUUUUUAUUAUUCCUUCGCUCAAACAGUCUUUAAAAAAAGCCAAUCUCGAGCGUCGAUUAUUCUAAGCACGAGAAUAUAAGACGAAAAAUUUUUAUCUUAUAAAACGCUAACCGGCCGACGCAUCGUCAUCUUCGUUACAUCAUAAUUAUUUGAGGAGCUGAUACGACCGUUGUAUUGAAAAAAAUAAAAACCACCUAAUUUAAAACGAUCAAAUUCUCGCACUCUUGAUUUUCUGUUCAACAAUAAGAUUUGUCGCGGUGGAGGACGAGGGUGGGGGAAAAAGAAUUUGAUUUAUAAAGCGGAGCAGCAGAGCAGGGAGCGGCGAGGGGCAUGAUUUUGUAAUAAAAUCGUCUAGAAUCUAUAAGGACGUCUUAUUUCCACUGAAAUUUUUAUCAUCCCUGCUGCUCCUGCUUUGCCCCGCUGCUGUUCGCCCCGAGGCGACACUUCGCUCUUUAUUCGAGGAGGGUCUCGUUCGUUCGUUCAAAAACAAGUUGGUGGAAAUAAUAAAAUGAAAAUAUUCUCAAAAGA
Long non-coding RNA from Athalia rosae (coleseed sawfly), 1834 nucleotides. RefSeq lists it as uncharacterized. Lineage: Eukaryota; Metazoa; Arthropoda; Insecta; Hymenoptera; Athaliidae. The transcript is spliced from 2 exons. The record is from RefSeq and is a predicted model, not a curated record.